RNAcentral lists this ribosomal RNA (468 nucleotides) under uncultured bacterium. RNAcentral's name for it is "bacterial SSU rRNA". It matches the Rfam family "Bacterial small subunit ribosomal RNA", at positions 334 to 793 of the family's 1533-position model. The record is from RNAcentral.
CACUCCUACGGGGAGGCAGCAGUAGGGAAUCUUCCACAAUGGGCGCAAGCCUGAUGGAGCAACACCGCGUGAGUGAAGAAGGGUUUCGGCUCGUAAAGCUCUGUUGUUAAAGAAGAACACGUAUGAGAGUAACUGUUCAUACGUUGACGGUAUUUAACCAGAAAGUCACGGCUAACUACGUGCCAGCAGCCGCGGUAAUACGUAGGUGGCAAGCGUUAUCCGGAUUUAUUGGGCGUAAAGAGAGUGCAGGCGGUUUUCUAAGUCUGAUGUGAAAGCCUUCGGCUUAACCGGAGAAGUGCAUCGGAAACUGGAUAACUUGAGUGCAGAAGAGGGUAGUGGAACUCCAUGUGUAGCGGUGGAAUGCGUAGAUAUAUGGAAGAACACCAGUGGCGAAGGCGGCUACCUGGUCUGCAACUGACGCUGAGACUCGAAAGCAUGGGUAGCGAACAGGAUUAGAUACCCUGGUAG